AUUGAACGCUGGCGGCAGGCCUAACACAUGCAAGUCGAACGGCAGCACAGUAAAGACUUCGGUCUUUAUGGGUGGCGAGUGGCGGACGGGUGAGUAACGCGUAGGAAUCUGUCCUGGAGAGUGGGAUAACCCGAGGAAACUCGGGCUAAUACCGCAUGAUAUCGAGAGAUCAAAGGCAGGGGACCCUUUGGGGCCUUGCGCUCUAGGUUUAGCCUACGUCGGAUUAGCUAGUUGGUGGGGUAAAGGCCUACCAAGGCGACGAUCCGUAGCUGGUCUGAGAGGAUGACCAGCCACACUGGGACUGAGACACGGCCCAGACUCCUACGGGAGGCAGCAGUGGGGAAUCUUGGACAAUGGGGGAAACCCUGAUCCAGCGAUGCCGCGUGUGUGAAGAAGGCCUUCGGGUUGUAAAGCACUUUAGGUGGGGAAGAAAGGUAAUGAGUGAAUAACUGAUUGCUUUGACGGUACCCGCAGAAUAAGCACCGGCUAACUCUGUGCCAGCCGCCGCGGUAA
This 513-nucleotide ribosomal RNA is filed under the name uncultured bacterium. Its description in RNAcentral is "partial 16S ribosomal RNA". It matches the Rfam family "Bacterial small subunit ribosomal RNA", at positions 30 to 523 of the family's 1533-position model. The record is from RNAcentral.